GACGAACGCUGGCGGCGUGCCUAAUACAUGCAAGUAGAACGCACAGUUUAUACCGUAGCUUGCUACACCAUAGACUGUGAGUUGCGAACGGGUGAGUAACGCGUAGGUAACCUGCCUGGUAGCGGGGGAUAACUAUUGGAAACGACAGCUAAUACCGCAUAAUAUUAAUUAUUGCAUGAUAAUUAAUUGAAAGGUGCAAUUGCACCACUACCAGAUGGACCUGCGUUGUAUUAGCUAGUAGGUGAGGUAACGGCUCACCUAGGCGACGAUACAUAGCCGACCUGAGAGGGUGAUCGGCCACACUGGGACUGAGACACGGCCCAGACUCCUACGGGAGGCAGCAGUAGGGAAUCUUCGGCAAUGGACGAAAGUCUGACCGAGCAACGCCGCGUGAGUGAAGAAGGUUUUCGGAUCGUAAAGCUCUGUUGUAAGAGAAGAACGGGUGUGAGAGUGGAAAGUUCACACUGUGACGGUAUCUUACCAGAAAGGGACGGCUAACUACGUG
Molecule: ribosomal RNA, 505 nt
Filed under: uncultured bacterium
Lineage: Bacteria
Description: partial 16S ribosomal RNA
Rfam family: Bacterial small subunit ribosomal RNA
Source: RNAcentral